GAAACCAACAGGGAUUGCCUCAGUAGCGGCGAGUGAAGCGGCAAGAGCUCAGAUUUGAAAUCGUGCUUUGCGGCACGAGUUGUAGAUUGCAGGUUGGAGUCUGUGUGGAAGGCGGUGUCCAAGUCCCUUGGAACAGGGCGCCCAGGAGGGUGAGAGCCCCGUGGGAUGCCGGCGGAAGCAGUGAGGCCCUUCUGACGAGUCGAGUUGUUUGGGAAUGCAGCUCCAAGCGGGUGGUAAAUUCCAUCUAAGGCUAAAUACUGGCGAGAGACCGAUAGCGAACAAGUACUGUGAAGGAAAGAUGAAAAGCACUUUGAAAAGAGAGUGAAACAGCACGUGAAAUUGUUGAAAGGGAAGGGUAUUGCGCCCGACAUGGGGAUUGCGCACCGCUGCCUCUCGUGGGCGGCGCUCUGGGCUUUCCCUGGGCCAGCAUCGGUUCUUGCUGCAGGAGAAGGGGUUCUGGAACGUGGCUCUUCGGAGUGUUAUAG
Molecule: ribosomal RNA, 485 nt
Filed under: Pichia kudriavzevii
Lineage: Eukaryota; Fungi; Ascomycota; Pichiomycetes; Pichiales; Pichiaceae
Description: LSU rRNA
Rfam family: Eukaryotic large subunit ribosomal RNA
Source: RNAcentral